Molecule: small nuclear RNA, 200 nt
Organism: Oryctolagus cuniculus (rabbit)
Lineage: Eukaryota; Metazoa; Chordata; Mammalia; Lagomorpha; Leporidae
Gene: U2
Rfam family: U2 spliceosomal RNA
About the family: U2 is a small nuclear RNA (snRNA) component of the spliceosome (involved in pre-mRNA splicing). Complementary binding between U2 snRNA (in an area lying towards the 5' end but 3' to hairpin I) and the branchpoint sequence (BPS) of the intron results the bulging out of an unpaired adenosine, on the BPS, which initiates a nucleophilic attack at the intronic 5' splice site, thus starting the first of two transesterification reactions that mediate splicing.
Source: Ensembl
ACUGCUUCUUGGCCUUUUGGCUAAGAUGAAGUGAAGUGUCUGUUUUUAUCAGUUUAAUAUCUGAUACAUCUUCUAAUCAAGGACAAUAUAUUGAAUGGAUUUUUGGAGCAGAGGGUUGGAAUAAGAGCUUGCUCUGAUAUGGAAAAAGACAAAUGCUAGAUUAGGAGCAGUAACUGGAAACCAAACCUCCCCCACCCUAU